This 954-nucleotide ribosomal RNA is filed under the name uncultured bacterium. RNAcentral describes it as "bacterial SSU rRNA". It matches the Rfam family "Bacterial small subunit ribosomal RNA", at positions 8 to 951 of the family's 1533-position model. The record is from RNAcentral.
AGAGUUUGAUCCUGGCUCAGGACGAACGCUGGCGGCGUGCUUAACACAUGCAAGUCGAGCGGAAAGGCCCCUUCGGGGGUACUCGAGCGGCGAACGGGUGAGUAACACGUGGGUAAUCUGCCCAAGACACAGGAAUAACCCGGGGAAACCCGAGCUAAUGCCUGAUGAUGUGCCGGCCCUACGGGGCCAGUACCAAAGGUAGCUUCGGCCUCCGGUCUUGGAUGAGCCCGCGUCCCAUUAGCUUGUUGGUGAGGUAACGGCUCACCAAGGCUCCGAUGGGUAGCUGGUCUGAGAGGACGAUCAGCCACACUGGGACUGAGACACGGCCCAGACUCCUACGGGAGGCAGCAGUGGGGAAUCUUGCGCAAUGGGCGAAAGCCUGACGCAGCAACGCCGCGUGCGGGAAGAAGGUCUUAGGGUUGUAAACCGCUUUCAGCAGGGACGAAGGCUGUUGGGUUAAUAGCCCAAGAGUUGACGGUACCUGCAGAAGAAGGUCCGGCUAACUACGUGCCAGCAGCCGCGGUAAUACGUAGGGACCGAGCGUUGUCCGGAAUCAUUGGGCGUAAAGAGCGUGUAGGCGGCUUGUUAAGUCUUGCGUGAAAUCUCGGGGCUCAACCCCGAGCGGUCGUGAGAAACUGGCAGGCUAGAGUGCGGGAGAGGAGAGUGGAAUUCCUGGUGUAGCGGUGAAAUGCGCAGAUAUCAGGAAGAACACCCGUGGCGAAGGCGGCUCUCUGGAACGCAACUGACGCUGAGACGCGAAAGCGUGGGGAGCAAACAGGAUUAGAUACCCUGGUAGUCCACGCCGUAAACGAUGGACGCUAGGUGUGGGCGGUGUCGACUCCGUCCGUGCCGAAGCUAACGCAUUAAGCGUCCCGCCUGGGGAGUACGGCCGCAAGGCUAAAACUCAAAGGAAUUGACGGGGCCCGCACAAGCAGCGGAGCAUGCUGUUUAAUU